GGGCGAGGGCGAGGGCAGGAGGAAGGGGCAGGGGAGGCGGCAAGCAACCCAGCAGAAGGGGACUCGCCAGGUCAGUCAAAGGCCAGGGCGUUACCAAGGCUGCCCUCCACUCUGCCGUGUGGCCAUUAGCGCACAGUGAUUAAAGAAGCGCGCCCAGUGAGUUUACAAGAGCGCUUGCCACGGCACUCGCGCGUGGACACGACCAGUGGUCACGUUUCGAUCUGUCAGGAAAGCAUCCUCUACCGAGCCUCACGCUCCAGCAACACGCGGAGUCCGCCUGCCUACCAGUCACUGGAUCUGCUAAUUCUGUCUUCCUGACUGAAUCAAGGUUCUUUCUCACGCAGGUUGCCCCAGCUUCUCUCAGUACCAGGGAUCAAACUCAGGACCUGGUGCUUGCCAGGUAGACGCUGCGCUGCUGAGCUACAUCUCCGGCAGUCAUUUGUUUUUCUGACAGCUACCUUUUCUAGCUCUUCUACCUCCGGACCAAGCUAUGUGGUUGUUUCUGGCAAGUGGAUGUAGACAAAAGUAGCUCAUCCAAUAGAAUGGCAUAUUUGCUUGCAAAGGUCUCACUCAGGCCAGGCAUUACACAGUGGAGACCCCAGAAGUUUGGAGAAGAUAGGAGCAUGGAUCGUCUGAGGAAAGCUACAAGGAAGGUUCAGAGCUGGCCCAAAAGAAAAACCAUGGGAGCUACAACUCUCUGCAGUGCUACAGGGGCAGAGCCACCCAAGCCCUUUGGCAUUCACAACUUGCCACAGAUUGCCUUGGAUACUGCACAUGGAACUACAGGACUUAAUAUUUGCCCUGCUGGAUUUUGGACUUGCUUUGGUUCUGUUCUUUGUUUCUCCCUGUUUGUACCUUUUGGAAUGAGAAUGUCUAUCUUAUGCCAUUGAAUGUUGGAAGGAUUUAACUUUCUUUUCAUUUGUGCAGGGGCUCACAGCUAAGAGUUUGACUUAAAUCUCAGAGGAGACUUGGGACUUGAACUUUUCAGCAAUGCUGAAACUGUUAGGACUUUGACAACUCUUAAAGUUGGACUAAAUGCCUUUUGUAUAAAGGGAUAUGCAUAUGCAUGAGUCUUUGAGGGGCCAGGGGUGAAAUGUUAUGGUUUGUGUCUAGAUGUCCCCCUAUAACCUGACCUUGUGGAAGUUUUGAAAAACUAGGUAGAGCCAUCAAUUGGCUCAACACUCUUCUCCCUAAGGAGAUAGUGGUCCCUUGUAUGGAAAGAGAAAGUCCUCAGUAGGGCUUUCUUUAAUGCUUCUAUGAAAGAUGAUGGCAUCAUCUUAGCUUCAGACAGAGACAUCUGUCCAGUGAAUAUGCAAGUCUCACAAGGGACAUUUUGUGUGCUCAUUGAGUCUCCUCCUUCUGCAUGGGAUACCAUUUUAAAGACCUGAAAUCUACUUGUCUCUCUGUAUAGGACCCAAGAUGAGCCAUGGUAAACCUCACAAACUAUAACUUGUAGAUUCCACAGACUUCACUACUAGGCCUUAUCUUGAUCAAUGGGAAAGCUUUGACCCUGCCAAUUUAAAAAGGAGCAGAUAAUGCUAUUAUUGCAAUAUGCUUUGUGUUCAGUAUAAACUAGGAAAUGGCAAAAGAUGGGUACAAGAUGGCAGCUGCAGCUAUGCUAACAUAGGAAGUCUUUAGGACAGAAACUAGAAGUCUUGACUCCCCAUCAGGUAAGAGUGAUUCUUGAGACCAAAAUUUGGUUGUGGUUAACAGGGGAAUGGCUUCCCAAGUAUCAGGCCAUACCCUUAGGCAUCUCUGAGGUUAUUAUAAAAUUUUCACUACUCCUAAUGUUGCCCCUCUGAUGCUUACAGGCCCAGAAAUUAGCCACUUUGUAAACAAGUGAUCUCCCAGACCUAGCAAGCAGGCAGGACAUCAGUGACCUGCCCCUGCAAGACCCCAAAGAGGUGUGGUUCACUGAUGAAAGUAGCUUUAUUCAAAAAGGACAUCAAAGGGAAGUUCCAUUUAUAGCAGUUCAUUGGAACCAACUUCCCCUAGCUCUUAUUGAUACUAGGAAAAGUCAAGAUGCUUUAUAUUUAUACAGACUCCAAAUAUGUUUUUCUGGUGUUACAUGGCUAUGCAGCAAUCUAUAAAGAAGAAGAUUGCUAACUAAUAAGAAAUCAUCUACACAACACAAACAGGAAGUUCUAUAACUCUUACAGGUAGUCUCUUCCCAAGCAGGUAGCUGUCAUUCAUUCCAAGGAAUUCUAAAGGGACAUGGACAAAUUCUACUUGAAAAAUCAAAAGACUGAUAGGGAGGCAAGAAGAGCAGUCCUAUAGCCACUCAAGAGCCUAGCCUUAUUCCAAGUUCCUUAGGGACCAUUCUGGUCCUCCUCAAGAGACAUAGUGACAAGCUAUAAAAAUCUUACAUGGGAAAUGAUACUAGAAAUUUCACUGGAAAAAGAAAAAUGCUAUCCCUGAGAACGUCUGGAAGACCUGAAGCUCCUGUUCAGAAAGCAAGACUCUAGUAUUUCUCUGGGUGAAGAUAAGUACAGUUGCUAAUGACCCUAAUUCACCACACAUUAAAUGAACCCCCGUAGUGAGACUCCUGGGUUUAAAAAAAUUUUUAUUAGUAUAUAGUUGUCAUACAUAUUGAUCGCAUUCAUCAUAAGGAAUUUCUACCUGUACAUAAUGUAUCUUAAUUCUUCUUUUUUUUCCCCAUUCCUCUUCCGUCCCUUUAACUCUUCUUCCCUUCUGUAUUUAUAAAAGCUUUGUUUCUAUUUUUUCCCUUCCUCUCUCUUUCUUUUUUCCUUUUCCCUUUCUUCUCUUCCCCCACCUCCUCCCUUGUUCUCUUCCUCAUUUGAACAUGUUCUUCCUACUUCCCAAUAUCCAUCCUCAAUUAUGCUCCUUAUUUAUGAGUUUUAAUUAGAUCCAUUAUGUGGGUAUCUUUAUAAGGCUAUGGCUCUCAGCCUCUUGAUAAUUUAUCCUCCCUCUUUGCUAUACUUUGUCCUUUACAAAAAGCCUGCACAUCUGACCCACUUCUCAUAUUUGGAUUCUACAUCCCCAACAUGAUAGUAAAGUUACUUACCUUCUCCCAUCAGACAGCUCAAUAGUAAGCCCUUUUCCCAUUGUCUUCUGACAUUGUUUCACUCCAAACAAGCCUGUGAGCCACAACACCCCAAGCUAGUUGGAGAGGACAUAAUCCCCAGUCCCUCAGCACCCCAUAAAGAAUUUUGGAAAUACGUGUCUCUUGGGGAAAAUUAGAGGAAGGUAAGGCAUGGCUAAACCUAGUUGGAAAAGGAGGCAUAACAAGAUCCCAGAACCCAAUCACAGAAUAGUUCCCAAAGCCCUUCAUGUGAACUUCUCACAAGAGAGGUCUUCAAUAUGAUGGCCUAGACCUGACAUGAGCCUGAGGAGUGGGUAAUACAAAAAGGAGAAUCACCAUUGAGUUUUUGUUGCUGUAUUCACUCUUGCAUAGUGGCCCACCCUCACACUGAAAAAUGUACUUCUUUUCCCACUUUUACUUGGCCCAAACUGUCUCUAAACAGCCUGUUUCUUUUCC
RNAcentral lists this long non-coding RNA (3499 nucleotides) under Heterocephalus glaber (naked mole-rat). Its description in RNAcentral is "lncRNA (ENSHGLG00000035553.1)". The record is from RNAcentral. Lineage: Eukaryota; Metazoa; Chordata; Mammalia; Rodentia; Bathyergidae.